GACGAACGCUGGCGGCGUGCUUAACACAUGCAAGUCGAACGAUGAAGCUGGAGCUUGCUCUGGCGGAUUAGUGGCGAACGGGUGAGUAACACGUGAGAAAUCUGCCCUUGACUCUGGGAUAACUGCGGGAAACUGUAGCUAAUACCGGAUACUUUCCCUGGUGGGCAUCCACUGGGGAAGAAAGAAUUUCGGUCAAGGAUGAUCUCGCGGCCUAUCAGCUUGCUGGUGAGGUAAUGGCUCACCAAGGCGACGACGGGUAGCCGGCCUGAGAGGGUGACCGGCCACACUGGGACUGAGACACGGCCCAGACUCAGACGGGAGGCAGAAGUGGGGAAUAUUGCACAAUGGGCGCAAGCCUGAUGCAGCAACGCCGCGUGAGGGAUGAAGGCCUUCGGGUUGUAAACCUCUUUUAGCAGGGAAGAAGCGAAAGUGACGGUACCUGCAGAAAAAGCACCGGCUAACUACGUGCCAGCCGCCGCCGUAA
RNAcentral lists this ribosomal RNA (484 nucleotides) under uncultured bacterium. RNAcentral describes it as "partial 16S ribosomal RNA". It matches the Rfam family "Bacterial small subunit ribosomal RNA", at positions 28 to 523 of the family's 1533-position model. The record is from RNAcentral.